UCGGGUUGUAAAGCACUUUUGUCCGGAAAGAAAACUUCGGCCCUAAUACGGCGGGAGGAUGACGGUACCGGAAGAAUAAGCACCGGCUAACUACGUGCCAGCAGCGCGGUAAUCGUAGGGUGCGAGCGUUAAUCGGAAUUACUGGGCGUAAAGCGUGCGCAGGCGGUUCGUUAAGACAGAUGUGAAAUCCCCGGGCUUAACCUGGGAACUGCAUUUGUGACUGGCGAGCUAGAGUAUGGCAGAGGGGGGUAGAAUUCCACGUGUAGCAGUGAAAUGCGUAGAGAUGUGGAGGAAUACCGAUGGCGAAGGCAGCCCCCUGGGCCAAUACUGACGCUCAUGCGCGAAAGCGUGGGGAGCAAACAGGAUUAGAUACCCUGGUAGUCCACGCCCUAAACGAUGUCAACUAGUUGUUGGGGAUUCAUUUCCUUAGUAACGUAGCUAACGCGUGAAGUUGACCGCCUGGGGAGUACGGUCGCAAGAUUAAAACUCAAAGGAAUUGACGGGGACCCGCACAAGCGGUGGAUGAUGUGGAUUAAUUCGAUGCAACGCGAAAAACCUUACCUACCCUUGACAUGGUCGGAACCCUGCUG
RNAcentral lists this ribosomal RNA (590 nucleotides) under uncultured Burkholderia sp. RNAcentral describes it as "bacterial SSU rRNA". It matches the Rfam family "Bacterial small subunit ribosomal RNA", at positions 418 to 1003 of the family's 1533-position model. The record is from RNAcentral. Lineage: Bacteria; Pseudomonadati; Pseudomonadota; Betaproteobacteria; Burkholderiales; Burkholderiaceae.